This 301-nucleotide ribosomal RNA is filed under the name uncultured bacterium. RNAcentral describes it as "partial 16S ribosomal RNA". It matches the Rfam family "Bacterial small subunit ribosomal RNA", at positions 509 to 809 of the family's 1533-position model. The record is from RNAcentral.
CAGUCGCCGCGGGAAUACGUAGGUGGCGAGCGUUGUCCGGAAUCAUUGGGCGUAAAGGGAGCGCAGGCGGGCCGGUAAGUCUUACUUAAAAGUGCGGGGCUCAACCCCGUGAUGGGAGAGAAACUAUCGGUCUUGAGUACAAGAGAGGAAAGCGGAAUUCCCAGUGUAGCGGUGAAAUGCGUAGAUAUUGGGAAGAACACCAGUGGCGAAGGCGGCUUUCUGGACUGCAACUGACGCUGAGGCUCGAAAGCCAGGGGAGCGAACGGGAUUAGAUACCCGCGUAGUCCCUGUCUCUUAUACA